GCUUAACCCUAAACAAAGAUGUAACACCACAACACAUCCGCCAGAGAACUACAAGCGAAAAGCUUAAAACUCUAAGGACUUGGCGGUGCUUCAAACCAACCUAGAGGAGCCUGUCCUAUAAUCGAUACCCCACGAUAAACCUCACCCCCUUUAGUAAUUUCAGCCUAUAUACCGCCGUCGUCAGCCUACCUUAUGAAAGAAACAAAGUAAGCACAAUAGUUAACAACUAACACGUCAGGUCAAGGUGUAGCACAUAAGGCGGCAGAGAUGGGCUACAUUUUUAUCAUAAAUAAACGAACAGCACAAUGAAAUAGGCGCUCAAAGGUGGAUUUAGCAGUAAGAUAAUAAGAAAAACUAUCUUAAACCUGCUCUGAAGCACGC
Molecule: ribosomal RNA, 381 nt
Filed under: Lipinia vittigera
Lineage: Eukaryota; Metazoa; Chordata; Lepidosauria; Squamata; Scincidae
Description: partial 12S rRNA
Rfam family: Bacterial small subunit ribosomal RNA
Source: RNAcentral